CGGUGUUUAACUGGCGUGAUGUGGGACGUCCUACCGGUGGGCUUAGCCUCGCGAGGGGCGGCCCAACUAAUAUCCCGUCGCGGUGCUCUUUACUGAGUGUCGAGUCGGGCCGGUACGUUUACUUUGAACAAAUUAGAGUGCUUAAAGCAGGCUAUCCUCGCCUGAAUACUGCGUGCAUGGAAUAAUGGAAUAGGACCUCGGUUCUAUUUUGUUGGUUUUCGGAACCCCGAGGUAAUGAUUAAUAGGGACAGAUGGGGGCAUUCGUAUUGCGACGUUAGAGGUGAAAUUCUUGGAUCGUCGCAAGACGGACAGAAGCGAAAGCAUUUGCCAAAAAUGUUUUCAUUAAUCAAGAACGAAAGUUAGAGGUUCGAAGGCGAUCAGAUACCGCCCUAGUUCUAACCAUAAACGAUGCCAGCUAGCGAUCCGCCGAAGUUCCUCCGAUGACUCGGCGGGCAGCUUCCGGGAAACCAAAGCUUUUGGGUUCCGGGGGAAGUAUGGUUGCAAAGCUGAAACUUAAAGGAAUUGACGGAAGGGCACCACCAGGAGUGGAGCCUGCGGCUUAAUUUGACUCAACACGGGAAACCUCACCAGGCCCAGACACCGGAAGGAUUGACAGAUUGAUAGCUCUUUCUUGAUUCGGUGGGUGGUGGUGCAUGGCCGUUUUUAGUUGGUGGAGCGAUUUGUCUGGUUAAUUCUGAUAACGAACGAGACUCUAGCCUGCUAAAUAGGCGUACCUUAUGGUAUCGCGAAGGCCCCCGGCUUCGGCCGGUGGGUUUUUACUACCAACGUACAAACAAAUCUUCUAGAGGGACAGGCGG
Molecule: ribosomal RNA, 818 nt
Filed under: uncultured eukaryote
Lineage: Eukaryota
Description: SSU rRNA
Rfam family: Eukaryotic small subunit ribosomal RNA
Source: RNAcentral